Molecule: ribosomal RNA, 497 nt
Filed under: uncultured bacterium
Lineage: Bacteria
Description: partial 16S ribosomal RNA
Rfam family: Bacterial small subunit ribosomal RNA
Source: RNAcentral
GAUGAACGCUGGCGGCGUGCCUAAUACAUGCAAGUCGAGCGAACAGAUGAGGAGCUUGCUCCUCUGACGUUAGCGGCGGACGGGUGAGUAACACGUGGAUAACCUACCUAUAAGACUGGGAUAACUUCGGGAAACCGGAGCUAAUACCGGAUAAUAUAUUGAACCGCAUGGUUCAAUAGUGAAAGACGGUUUUGCUGUCACUUAUAGAUGGAUCCGCGCCGCAUUAGCUAGUUGGUAAGGUAACGGCUUACCAAGGCAACGAUGCGUAGCCGACCUGAGAGGGUGAUCGGCCACACUGGAACUGAGACACGGUCCAGACUCCGACGGGAGGCAGCAGUAGGGAAUCUUCCGCAAUGGGCGAAAGCCUGACGGAGCAACGCCGCGUGAGUGAUGAAGGUCUUCGGAUCGUAAAACUCUGUUAUUAGGGAAGAACAAAUGUGUAAGUAACUAUGCACGUCUUGACGGUAUCUAAUCAGAAAGCCACGGCUAACUACGUG